UUUUGGGUUGAUUUCAGUUUAUUUACAAAAUUGCCAUCGGGCUGAUUUCAAUCCAAUUUUCGAUUUAUUUACACGAUUACCACUGGGCUUAAGAACGGUUUUUCAGUGUUUGGGCUGGAUCUGGACUUUGAGUCGGGGAGAGAGAGGGAAGGGGGACAGAAGGGUUGACGGGUUAGAGGGAGAGGUUCGCCGGGAUUUAGAGGAGAGGGGAGAGGGGAAAGGAUUCGGCAGUGAGGUAUGGGUUUAGGGAGAGUAAGGGAGAAGUAUGGGGUAGUUUGAUUUCCAGGGAUUUCUUUUCACCCCUUCACUAUGGAGGUAUGGGUUUAGGGAGAAAGAGUGGGAGCAGCUUCCGAUCACUUCACUCUCUCCUUUCGAAACAAUCAGUUUAUAAUCCCAUUUAGCAGAGUCGUGUCGCUUCCAAAUGAAGAAAAUGAUAAGUCCUCUUCUUCUGAUGCUCAGAAAUACAAAGUACCCAAAAAUCUGAAGUGGAAAAGAAAGGGGAUGGACAGAAGUCCCUGGCAGCAAUCUCUCUAUAAUCAUCGCCGGGAAAAUAUCGUGGUCAUUUUGAGCUCGGAUUCAGCCAGCAUGUGGUAAGCGUUUCUUUUCCGAUUACUUUCAUUUGUUUAUUUGUGAAUCAAUAACUUUUUUAGGAAUAAUGAAUGUCACAAUUGCUGAUAAAUUGAUACUUUGUCUGGAGCUUGAACUGUGGAUCUGUGCAAUUCUCAAGGACCUGCAUCUGGUCCUCUCCCUGAUCCUCCUAAUGAUUAUGACACAUAUUACUCAAUGAAUCAAGCAAGAUCCAUAAGGUUCACGUACAAAUGUGACUAGCAGGUAAAGUUCCAUAAGGAGGUGGAAGCAGAAGAAGAAUUGGCGUCACCCUUCAGUUUUUCAACCAAAAGGAGCUAACCUUUAUAAAUGAUUGAGUAAACUGUCAUUUAACCCUCUAAACUAUCACGUGAGUGUCAAUUUCCCCCCUAAACUAUUUUUUUAGCCCCCCUAAACUAUGUUAAAGUGGCUAAUUCACCCCCUACCGUUAAGUAUCUUUAACUCCAUAUAAUUUUCUGUUAGAAAGUGUCAUGUGCUUGGCACAUGACCACCUUUUUACAUUUUCUGUCUAAAUCUUUACAAAGAAAACAUAUAAAACAAAUAUUAAAAAAAAAAAAA
Malus domestica (apple) is the source of this 1164-nucleotide non-coding RNA. The record is from RefSeq and is a predicted model, not a curated record. Lineage: Eukaryota; Viridiplantae; Streptophyta; Magnoliopsida; Rosales; Rosaceae.